Molecule: ribosomal RNA, 492 nt
Filed under: uncultured bacterium
Lineage: Bacteria
Description: bacterial SSU rRNA
Rfam family: Bacterial small subunit ribosomal RNA
Source: RNAcentral
GAUGAACGCUGGCGGCAUGCCUAAGACAUGCAAGUCGAACGAGAUGGCCCAGUGAAGGUUGCGUGCUUGCACAAGACUGAAUCUGGAUCACCAUCUAGUGGCAGACGGGUGAGUAACACGUGGGUGACCUACCUUUUCGUUGGGGAUAACAGUUGGAAACGAUUGCUAAUACCGAAUAAAAUAUAAGAGCCAAUUUUAUAUUGAAAGGAGCCUUUAAAGCUUCGCGAUUAGAUGGGCCUGCGGCGUAUUAACUUGUUGGUGAGGUAACGGCUCACCAAGGUAACGAUGCGUAGCCGAACUGAGAGGUUGAUCGGCCACACUGGGACUGAGACACGGCCCAGACUCCUACGGGAGACAGCAGUUAGGAAUAUUCGUCAAUGGGGGAAACCCUGAACGAGCAAUGCCGCGUGAGUGAUGACGGUCCUUUGGAUUGUAAAACUCUGUUGUAUGGAAAAAAAUGACUAGGUUAGGAAAUGAACCUAGUGUGAUGGU